CAGAGGGUAGUUUAUAUAAAAUAUUAGUUUUGGAGACUAAAGAUAGGGCGUGGCUUUACCUCUGA
Molecule: transfer RNA, 65 nt
Filed under: Electrogena lateralis
Lineage: Eukaryota; Metazoa; Arthropoda; Insecta; Ephemeroptera; Heptageniidae
Description: tRNA-Pro
Source: RNAcentral